The sequence is a ribosomal RNA, 159 nucleotides long. It matches the Rfam family "Archaeal large subunit ribosomal RNA", at positions 2545 to 2701 of the family's 2987-position model. The record is from Rfam.
AACAGGCUAAUUUGCGCAAGAGUGUACAAAAUGAGUGCGCGGUUUGGCACCUCGAUGUCGGCUUAACUUAUCCUCAUGGAUGCAGAAACUAUGUAGGGUGCGACUGUUCGUCGAUUAAAAAGUUACAUGAGCUGGGUUAAAUACGUCGUGAGACAGUAU